RNAcentral lists this long non-coding RNA (1062 nucleotides) under Apteryx haastii (Great spotted kiwi). Its description in RNAcentral is "lncRNA (ENSAHAG00000011289.1)". The record is from RNAcentral. Lineage: Eukaryota; Metazoa; Chordata; Aves; Apterygiformes; Apterygidae.
AUGUUGCUCUUGGGCCUGGGGUCGCACCAGGACGUGCUGCAGAGACGUUGCCGGAGGAAGGGGUGCAGACGUGUGGCCGCCCCCCCGGCAGGCCGCUUGCACCCGGUCCGGAUGCCAGCAGGGAUGCGGCUCCUCCGCUCGCAUCGGGUGCAGGCUGUGCUGACUCCGGGGUGUCCCCACCGCUGCGGGCCCGCAUGUCCUGCAGGAUGGGGGUGGCAGCGAUGCCGAGGUUUAGCCCCUCUUUGCACCCGGCUCCGGGUUAUGAUCUGGAGCCGUAGCCGAGGAGGCGGCCGGUCGCCAGCAGAGCGAGCGCGGUGCCAGCCGCGGUGCGCAGUGCAGGCGGGCGCAAAGGAGCUGCUGGGCGCACGGGUGCUGCCGGCCAGUGCUGUGCCAGUGGGGGCGAUUUUUUUAUUUAUUUCUUUUUAUUUAUUUAUAUUUUUAAGCUUUCUGUUGCUGAUCGUUUGCAUGAGGUUGGUUUGUGCCCGGCAGCGUCUGCCCCUUGGAAAGGCAGCGCAUGCACCGGCUCCCGCCCGGGCGUGUGCAYGCAAAUGGGAGUGUGUUGGAGAGCAGAGUGGGUGCUGGGGUGCUGCGUGCACCCCUCUGCGCCGGGGCCGCUCCGGCGCCACGCGGGUCUGCAGCCACGUCAGACGCGUGCCCGCGUGGGGGCUUGUCGCGGAGGAGAYGGGCUCCCAGCGCUGCCUCUCGCCCCCCGCCGAGCUUUCGGCAGCCCCCUGCUUUCUCCGAAGCAACCUCUCGGCCUCCCGUUUCGACGAGCCGACGGAGCUGGCUCGCCAGGGCUUUGCCUCGGGGUGUUUCGGCAGCGUUUGUGCUGUGCAUCCGUAUCUCGAGCUCCGAUUUUGCAAGGCACCGCAGCAACCUGGAUGCGGAGCCUCUCGGGGUCCUGCUGCGCAACCGCCUGCUCCGUGCUCCUGCCUGCGGGGCUGGUGUCGGAGCAGGGAUGGGGUCCCCGAGGAGCGGGGUCUGCUUCCGGGCCGGUUGACGUGGCUGGCUGGGACGCAGCCCCGGAAGCCCUCCCGAAGGGGAGACCCCACGGCACGGUGA